This 374-nucleotide ribosomal RNA is filed under the name uncultured organism. RNAcentral's name for it is "partial 16S ribosomal RNA". It matches the Rfam family "Bacterial small subunit ribosomal RNA", at positions 527 to 896 of the family's 1533-position model. The record is from RNAcentral.
GUAGGUGGCAAGCGUUGUCCGGAAUUAUUGGGCGUAAAGCGCGCGCAGGCGGUUCUUUAAGUCUGAUGUGAAAGCCCACGGGCUCAACCGUGAGGGUCAUUGGAAACUGGAGAACUUGAGUACAGAAAGAGGAAAGCGGAAUUCCACGUGUAGCGGUGAAAUGCGUAGAGAUGUGGAGGAACACCAGUGGCGAAGGCGGCUUUCUGGUCUGUAACUGACGCUGAGGCGCGAAAGCGUGGGGAGCAAACAGGAUUAGAUACCCUGGUAGUCCACGCCGUAAACGAUGAGUGCUAAGUGUUACGGGGGUUUCCGCCCCUUAGUGCUGCAGCUAACGCAUUAAGCACUCCGGCCUGGGGAGUACGGCCGCAAGGCUG